AAAAAGAAAGCCCUUGAUGUACUAAGACACUGACACUGAUUUCUGCCAGUCGCCUUGGGGAUGGGAGACUCAGCGUGCCUCAUCUCCAGACAGGAGUCUCACUAUUAACUCCUAAGGCGGUCCUCUAAAUUACUGAGAUGUUUUGUCAGAAAACUGCCCAUCAUGUUGGCACCUUGCGAUGUUCAUCCGCUUGUCCUGUUGUCUUCUACUGUUUUGCUAUUCCUUCCACAUGACAAUCUGUCAGGUUUCAGAGCACUUCUGCGCAUAAAGGCUGAAUUCAAACUUCUGUGGUUCUGAGUUAGGUAGCUGAUCUCAGGGCAACAAUGCUACCUCCCACCAGUAGGUGGCGAUAGCAGUUGGUUGUAGGUUGGUAAAUGAACUCUUAAGAGGAAAUUUCUUCUUUGAAAACAGCAAUGGUACAUACUUUUGAGGAUUUCUUUUCUGGGAAAAAUAUUCUCAGCUCCCCCAAACAAUCCAUAGGGUGAUGGUAUCAUCUUGAAGCUCCUUUCCAGCCUGGCCCUGGGGCACUGGGCAGUCAUUCAUAGCUUAACUGAAGAGCCAGUGUGUCCCAGAGCUUAUCCUUCCUUGUAAAUAUCGGCCCAUGGGAUGUUAGGAGAGAAAUCAGCGUGAGCACAUUCCUGGAAGGCAGUCGGGGCUGGAACAGUCCCAGGAGAAUACCACACAGAGAGGUUUGAUGGGCAGGAGUACACAGGGACCCGAGGAAGGCACCUCCCAACAUCCUGUGGUGUACACGUUUUCAGAAUCCAGGAAGAAGCACAUUUCUGCUUCGUUUACCCAGUUCUCCCUGCGUCCUCCCACGUCCGCUCGCGCUUCUGCCACAACUCACCGUGGGCACAUUCCCACCCUGCCACCCGCUCCUCUGGCCCAUGACUCUGUAAUCUAGGGCUGCUCCACCCCGAGGGCGCUGAGAAAAUUCCCGAGCUCAAAGAAGAUGAGGAAUGGAGUCGUCACUCUCUAGACCCUGUCCUCCGGGUUAGGACGUUUACCAACAUCCCCUGCCACCUCGACCUACUACACCAGUGGUGACAACCAAAAUGGGAAGCAACACAAGCAACACUGCCCCUGGCUGAGAACCACGGGGUAAAGCUGUGAGGCCCUGCCUCCGAGAAGGUCCAGACAAGACGGAAAAGGUCCCGGCUGGACUUGCACCUGCACAGACAAGCGAUGAUGCAGAUGAAGAGGACGAUGACCCAAACGCAAUCGCUAUCUUUCUUUUCGGAGGAGGGAAGCAGGUACUGGGA
Molecule: long non-coding RNA, 1262 nt
Organism: Fukomys damarensis (Damara mole-rat)
Lineage: Eukaryota; Metazoa; Chordata; Mammalia; Rodentia; Bathyergidae
Exons: 3
Source: RefSeq, a predicted model, not a curated record